UACGGAGGGUGCAAGCGUUAUCCGGAUUCACUGGGUUUAAAGGGUGCGUAGGUGGGCAGGUAAGUCCGUGGUGAAAUCUCUGAGCUUAACUCAGAAACUGCCGUGGAUACUAUUGUCUUGAAUGUUGUGGAGGUGAGCGGAAUAUGUCAUGUAGCGGUGAAAUGCUUAGAUAUGACAUAGAACACCAAUUGCGAAGGCAGCUCACUACACAAUUAUUGACGCUGAGGCACGAAAGCGUGGGGAUCAAACAGG
Molecule: ribosomal RNA, 252 nt
Filed under: uncultured bacterium
Lineage: Bacteria
Description: partial 16S ribosomal RNA
Rfam family: Bacterial small subunit ribosomal RNA
Source: RNAcentral